AUUGAACGCUGGCGGCAUGCUUUACACAUGCAAGUCGAACGGUAACAGGCCUUCGGGUGCUGACGAGUGGCGAACGGGUGAGUAAUGCAUCGGAACGUACCCAGAGGUGGGGGAUAACGCAGCGAAAGCUGUGCUAAUACUGCAUGUGAUCUGAGGAUGAAAGCGGGGGACCGAGCAGCAAUGUUUGGCCUCGCGCCUUUGGAGCGGCCGAUGUCGGAUUAGCUAGUUGGUGGGGUAAAGGCCUACCAAGGCGACGAUCCGUAGCUGGUCUGAGAGGACGACCAGCCACACUGGGACUGAGACGCGGCCCAGACUCCUACGGGAGGCAGCAGUGGGGAAUUUUGGACAAUGGGCGCAAGCCUGAUCCAGCAAUGCCGCGUGCGGGAAGAAGGCCUUCGGGUUGUAAACCGCUUUUGGCAGGAACGAAACGGUGUCCGCUAAUACCGGGCGCUAAUGACGGUACCGGCAGAAUAAGCACCGGCUAACUACGU
This 491-nucleotide ribosomal RNA is filed under the name uncultured bacterium. RNAcentral describes it as "partial 16S ribosomal RNA". It matches the Rfam family "Bacterial small subunit ribosomal RNA", at positions 29 to 506 of the family's 1533-position model. The record is from RNAcentral.